Molecule: ribosomal RNA, 792 nt
Filed under: uncultured Methanosarcinales archaeon
Lineage: Archaea; Methanobacteriati; Methanobacteriota; Methanomicrobia; Methanosarcinales
Description: bacterial SSU rRNA
Rfam family: Archaeal small subunit ribosomal RNA
Source: RNAcentral
ACKGCUCAGUAACACGUGGAUAACCUACCCUGGGAUGGGGGAUAAUCUCGGAAAACUGAGGAUAAUACCCCAUAGGUCUGGGAGGCUGGAACGCAUCCAGACUGAAAACUCCGGUGUCCCAGGAUGGGUCUGCGGCCUAUCAGGUUGUAGUGAGUGUAAAGGACUCACUAGCCGACAACGGGUACGGGCCAUGGGAGUGGUAGCCCGGAGAUGGAUUCUGAGACACGAAUCCAGGCCCUACGGGGCGCAGCAGGCGCGAAAACUUCGCAAUGUGCGCAAGCGCGACGAGGGGAUUCCAAGUGCAUGCACUCAGUGUAUGCUGUUUUCCAGUCUAAAUAGCUGGGAGAGUAAGGGCUGGGUAAGACCGGUGCCAGCCGCCGCGGUAACACCGGCGGCUCGAGUGGUAACCGUUAUUAUUGGGUCUAAAGGGUCUGUAGCCGGCCGGAUAAGUCUCUUGGGAAAUCUGGCAGCUUAACUGUCAGGCUUUCAGGAGAUACUGUCUGGCUCGAGGCCGGGAGAGGUGAGAGGUACUUCAGGGGUAGGGGUGAAAUCUUGUAAUCCUUGAAGGACCACCAGUGGCGAAGGCGUCUCACCAGAACGGACCUGACGGCAAGGGACGAAAGCUAGGGGCACGAACCGGAUUAGAUACCCGGGUAGUCCUAGCCGUAAACGAUACUCGCUAGGUGUCGGCCACGGUGCGACCGUUGUCGGUGCCGUAGGGAAGCCGUGAAGCGAGCCACCUGGGAAGUACGGCCGCAAGGCUGAAACUUAAAGGAAUUGGCGGGGGAGCAC